Molecule: ribosomal RNA, 433 nt
Filed under: uncultured bacterium
Lineage: Bacteria
Description: partial 16S ribosomal RNA
Rfam family: Bacterial small subunit ribosomal RNA
Source: RNAcentral
AACGAACGCUGGCGGCAUGCCUAACACAUGCAAGUCGAACGAGACCUUCGGGUCUAGUGGCGCACGGGUGCGUAACGCGUGGGAAUCUGCCCUUCGGUUGGGAAUAACUGAGAGAAAUUUCAGCUAAUACCUUAUAAUGUCUUCGGACCAAAGAUUUAUCGCCGAGGGAUGAGCCCGCGUAGGAUUAGGUAGUUGGUGGGGUAAUGGCCUACCAAGCCGACGAUCCUUAGCUGGUCUGAGAGGAUGAUCAGCCACACUGGGACGGAGACACGGCCCAGACUCCUACGGGAGGCAGCAGUGGGGAAUAUUGGAACGUGGGCGAAAGCCUGAUCCAGCAAUGCCGCGUGAGUGAUGAAGGCCUUAGAGUUGUAAAGCUCUUUUACCCGGGAUGAUAAUGACAGUACCGGGAGAAUAAGCUCCGGCUAACUCCGUG